RNAcentral lists this ribosomal RNA (253 nucleotides) under uncultured bacterium. Its description in RNAcentral is "partial 16S ribosomal RNA". It matches the Rfam family "Bacterial small subunit ribosomal RNA", at positions 524 to 776 of the family's 1533-position model. The record is from RNAcentral.
UACGUAGGGUGCGAGCGUUGUUCGGAAUCAUUGGGCGUAAAGCGCGUGUAGGCGGCUAACUAAGUCUGGUGUGAAAUCCCGGGGCUUAACCCCGGAAGUGCAUUGGAUACUGGUUGGCUAGAGGGCGAGAGAGGGUGGUGGAAUUCCUGGUGUAGGGGUGAAAUCCGUAGAUAUCAGGAGGAACACCGGUAGCGAAGGCGGCCACCUGGCUCGUUUCUGACGCUCAGACGCGAAAGCGUGGGGAGCAAACAGG